UAAAUAUUUCUGUGCUCCCUCCCUGUAAGC
This 30-nucleotide non-coding RNA is filed under the name Mus musculus (house mouse). Lineage: Eukaryota; Metazoa; Chordata; Mammalia; Rodentia; Muridae. The record is from RNAcentral.